UAAUUAGUCUACUCUGUAAUAUAUCCCACAUACUUAAAUAUCUAAAUGUUCUAUUCUCAUUUGUCUGUAAGAAAACAUUUUUCUGUAGACCAAAUAAAUAAAAGUCAGCUGGUUUGCCUUAUUCUUCCUGUUUUUGCAAGGGAUGGCUAAUUUCUCUUCGUUAACUUGUUUGGUUUUCCUCUCAUUUUGGAGAGGAUUUUCGCUUGCCCUCUUGAUUUGGAUUUUUGGCUACUGAUGGCUAAUUUGGUACUAAUACAAAUU
Long non-coding RNA from Rhagoletis zephyria (snowberry fruit fly), 261 nucleotides. RefSeq lists it as uncharacterized. NCBI's taxonomy places the organism in Eukaryota, Metazoa, Arthropoda, Insecta, Diptera, Tephritidae. The record is from RefSeq and is a predicted model, not a curated record.